This 75-nucleotide transfer RNA is filed under the name Marmota monax (woodchuck). RNAcentral's name for it is "tRNA.Ala". Lineage: Eukaryota; Metazoa; Chordata; Mammalia; Rodentia; Sciuridae. The record is from RNAcentral.
AUGGGGUUAUGGCUCAAUGGUAGAGUGCUUGCCUGGCAUAUGUGAGGCCCUGAGUUCAAUCCUCAGCACCGCAUA